AACAUCCACUACUCCAACAUGCAAAAAUCCAUUCCAGAAAUUCCAUUUCUUCUCGCAGCUUUAUUGCCAAAACAGCCAUGAAGGAAUAGAAUACAAGACAAAAUGUACAUGAUCAAAAACACCCAAACAAACCUAAUUUCCCGACAACCAACCUCUGAAUCCUCAAUCCAAACUUCCAGAAAGCAAACCCAGAACAUCAAAACAAGAUAAACACAUCAUAUCAAGACAUGUCAAACCUGCUGCAACUUCCUACUAUGAACUUGAGGUUCAUUUUCACUUCUGGGUUUCAUUCUUGAGCAUUAAUCAUGAUGCAAAUCAAAUCCAAAACGACAAAUACGC
RNAcentral lists this long non-coding RNA (339 nucleotides) under Coffea arabica (coffee). RNAcentral's name for it is "long non-coding RNA (CARA_LNC003741)". The record is from RNAcentral. Lineage: Eukaryota; Viridiplantae; Streptophyta; Magnoliopsida; Gentianales; Rubiaceae.